UUGGGUACGCGCCUGCCGCAGUAGUUCACGAGGAGGCUCAGGUUGAUGGGCAGGUUGAUGGUGAUGCCCAGCACGUUGGCGCGCAGGGCCGUGCACAGGCACACCGCCGCCUCAAGGUCCGCCAGGCCCUGGAUCAGCGUGCAGCACGGCGUCCGCGGCGGCGUCCCGAGGGUCACGUUGAUCAGCCCCUGUAGCACGUUGGCGCACACACCAAGCUUCAGGGCAUCGAUGGGGCACCUACGACCUUGGCCUCCGCCUCCUCCGCUGCCGC
RNAcentral lists this long non-coding RNA (271 nucleotides) under Setaria italica (foxtail millet). RNAcentral describes it as "long non-coding RNA (SITA_LNC007440)". The record is from RNAcentral. Lineage: Eukaryota; Viridiplantae; Streptophyta; Magnoliopsida; Poales; Poaceae.